UUCUGCUUCUGCCAGAAACAAUUCUCAUCAAUUCUCAUCUUCUGUGGAUUAUGGUGUCGCACUGGUCAGCUUCCAAUUCAACUCAUUUUGUUCAUGAAGUCGUCCACAAUUACUUUGGGGAUAAGAAUUAUUUGGUUAAAAAUAAUGCGUAAAAAAGAACAUACGCACGAAUGGGACAAUAUGGCUUUUGAGCCAGAAACCAUAACUGCUGUCAUUUGUGACGCAGGUGCCAUGGCCACCACUUCCUGUGGAAAGAGUCGCGAUUUGGUUGCAUAACUAUUUGUUGGUUCACCACUGAUUUUGCUUUGAUUAUUGUGCACAUGUAACGGUGUUAUUCACUUGAAUGUUUCUGUAGACACAAAUCCAUGUGACUUGGCUGCUCGGUGUGGGGCCAAUACACAACUCUUUGCAAUCUUCAUGAACUGUCGCCUCACUUGCACUCAGUUUCUACAAGUGUCUGUUUCUCCCCCAUCAAACUUUGUUCUGUCAGUCUGCAAUAGGGUGGAGUUUGAGUCACGUGACGACAUUGUGAGGUAAGAGCUCGGGUGCAGAAGAGAAGAGCGGAGUUGACGGAAAUUCAUUCAGCAUGUUUCUGUCUGCUUGGUCGCUGCUCGUCAUCACUGUGGCAGGCGCCAGCGGUGACCAGCUUGAGGCAGUCACGGGCGAAGUGUUGGCAUCAGAAGGCAAACAGGUGACACUGUCGUACGUUUACGCCACAGUGCCUACUGGUGGUGAUUAUUUCUUCUGGUACCAACAACUUCCUGGACAAGCACCACACUUCCUGCUUUCCCACUUGGGAAGCGGCAGCACGUUCAACGCCAAGCAAGGAAUAUCGGCGAGCGUGGAAAGUGACAGGAGACGAGUGCACCUGCACAUCGAGGAUGUGACAAUUGAGCACUCUGCAGUGUACUACUGUGCUGUGAAGACCACAGUGACACAAGCGCCACAUUCUUGUUACAAGAACAUUUCCUCUUCCUAAGCUCAUCACAUCACACUCCCCUCUAGUAGCUUACAAAAAAAAUCUCCCAAAAAAAAACAAAACUUUAUUUACCUUGUUUCAAAUUAUUAUGCACAUUAGUGUUUCAAGACAUUUUAUAGGUUUUAAAGAACUGAAAA
This is a non-coding RNA of Phyllopteryx taeniolatus (common seadragon), 1116 nucleotides long. The record is from the annotation of a RefSeq genome assembly. NCBI's taxonomy places the organism in Eukaryota, Metazoa, Chordata, Actinopteri, Syngnathiformes, Syngnathidae.